This 468-nucleotide ribosomal RNA is filed under the name uncultured bacterium. RNAcentral describes it as "partial 16S ribosomal RNA". It matches the Rfam family "Bacterial small subunit ribosomal RNA", at positions 28 to 507 of the family's 1533-position model. The record is from RNAcentral.
GACGAACGCUGGCGGCGUGCUUAACACAUGCAAGUCGAACGGAAAGGCCCUGCUUUUGUGGGGUGCUCGAGUGGCGAACGGGUGAGUAACACGUGAGUAACCUGCCCUUUACUUUGGGAUAACUUCAGGAAACUGGGGCUAAUACCGGAUAGGAGCUCCUGCUGCAUGGUGGGGGUUGGAAAGUUUCGGCGGUUGGGGAUGGACUUGCGGCUUAUCAGCUUGUUGGUGGGGUAGUGGCUUACCAAGGCUUUGACGGGUAGCCGGCCUGAGAGGGUGACCGGCCACAUUGGGACUGAGAUACGGCCCAGACUCCUACGGGAGGCAGCAGUGGGGAAUAUUGCACAAUGGGCGGAAGCCUGAUGCAGCAACGCCGCGUGCGGGAUGACGGCCUUCGGGUUGUAAACCGCUUUCGCCUGUGACGAAGCGUGAGUGACGGUAAUGGGUAAAGAAGCACCGGCUAACUACGUG